RNAcentral lists this transfer RNA (94 nucleotides) under Streptomyces daqingensis. RNAcentral's name for it is "tRNA-Sec". It matches the Rfam family "Selenocysteine transfer RNA". The record is from RNAcentral. Lineage: Bacteria; Bacillati; Actinomycetota; Actinomycetes; Kitasatosporales; Streptomycetaceae.
GGAGGCGGGUAGGCGCCUGGUGGCCCUCACGGUCUUCAACACCGAUGUGGCCGGGAACCCCGGUCAGGCGGGUUCGAUUCCCGUACGCCUCCGC